GCCAGGCGUGGUGGCUCACGCCUGUAAUCCCAGCACUUUGGGAGGCUGAGGCGGGAGGAUUAUUUGAGGUCAGGAGUUCAAGACCAGCCUGGCCAACAUAGUGAAACCCUGUCUCUA
RNAcentral lists this non-coding RNA (117 nucleotides) under Gorilla gorilla gorilla (western lowland gorilla). Lineage: Eukaryota; Metazoa; Chordata; Mammalia; Primates; Hominidae. The record is from Rfam by way of RNAcentral.